CUGUCACAUGGAGAGUCGCAGCUCGCUGCGGGGUCGUUCUCCCGGGAUGCAGAACAGACAACGCCAGACAAAGCGUGAAGGCGUACAAAAGGCGAGGACUCGCCUGAUGAAGCCGAGAGGGAGGCAGUUUGGAACAUGAAUAUGAAUUAUUCACCGUUCCUGCCCGCUUAUAUAUCGCCCUUGGACAUGACAUUGACGAGGAAAUUGUAUUCCGGGAGCAGCUUUUCCAAACAGACCGGACUGCUGCUGAGUUUGGAAGCGGUCAAUCCACUUAUAGCAUGGUCACUCGUGCCAGAGGAAAAACAAGUUGCUCUGCGUGGGCCCCCAACGUGCAAAACACCAAAAGGAGCAAAUGUGAUCAACCAUCUUUAAGAGGCCCUUUGAUAAUUGGACC
Entelurus aequoreus (snake pipefish) is the source of this 394-nucleotide long non-coding RNA. RefSeq lists it as uncharacterized. The record is from RefSeq and is a predicted model, not a curated record. Lineage: Eukaryota; Metazoa; Chordata; Actinopteri; Syngnathiformes; Syngnathidae. The transcript is spliced from 3 exons.